Molecule: long non-coding RNA, 402 nt
Filed under: Salvia miltiorrhiza (redroot sage)
Lineage: Eukaryota; Viridiplantae; Streptophyta; Magnoliopsida; Lamiales; Lamiaceae
Description: long non-coding RNA (SMIL_LNC014436)
Source: RNAcentral
CCAAAGUUGAAUUGAUUAUCUAAUCACGCCUAAACCUAUUAAUCUUAUCUAUCUUAUCCACCAAAUCAAAGAUGCUAAUAUCACAAUACAUCAUCCUUGUGUUAUCUCUGUUGAUUGAAACAAACAAAUGCAAGAAGGUUGCAAAUGAAAUAACACAACCACGUGCACGUAACAGAAUUGGUGCUUGAGUUAUGGCUGCUGCAAUUUUCUGGUACUCCUGGAUGCAUACCUACAGCUCGGACACCAACAGCAUCGCCACCGCCACCGCCACGGCCACCACGGGAACCUCCACCGCCACCACCGGCUACCAGAAUUAUGAGGCGCAACAUGAUCAAAGUAAGGAAGAGCACACCAGGAUAGUGUAACCAGAUCAUCAUCUAUCAAUGAAUCCUUUUACCAUCA